GAAGAAGGACACGUUUGCUUCCUCUUCCUCCAUAAUUGUAAGUUUCCUGAAGCCUCCCAGGCCAUGCACAACUCACUUCUCCUUGCUGCUGCCAUGUGAACAAGAACAUGUUUGCUGCCCCUUCAGGGAUGAUUGUAAGUUUCUUGAGGCCUCCUCAGAGCUGCAGAACUGUGAGUCAAUUAAACCUUUUUUCUUUAUAAGUUAGCCAUUUCGGGGGAUGUCUUCAUUAGCAGCAUGAGAACAGACUAAUACACUUACUAACAUUGUGACCAUUCCCUCUGUUUGCUCAUGUAGAAAAUGUAUAGAUACCUACCCCUACAUAGUUGUUGCAAACAGUUAAUAAGAUAAUGGAGGUCUUGGCAUAUACUAAAUAUUCAGCAUAAGGCUUCCAUGGAGAGGCAUUAUAGCUUAGCAAUUAAGAGCUGGAACUUUGGAUUUCAAAAGAUCUACCACCAUGCAAAAGAUUCAAUUCCUCAACUGUAAAAUCGUG
RNAcentral lists this long non-coding RNA (490 nucleotides) under Callithrix jacchus (white-tufted-ear marmoset). Its description in RNAcentral is "lncRNA (ENSCJAG00000074297.1)". Lineage: Eukaryota; Metazoa; Chordata; Mammalia; Primates; Cebidae. The record is from RNAcentral.